AUGCCGCGUGAGUGAUGACGGCCUUGGGUUGUAAAGCUCUUUUCUCCGGGACGAUAAUGACGGUACCGGAGGAAUAAGCCCCGGCUAACUUCGUGCCAGCAGCCGCGGUAAUACGAAGGGGGCUAGCGUUGCUCGGAAUCACUGGGCGUAAAGGGCGCGUAGGCGGCUGAUUUAGUCGAGGGUGAAAGCCCGUGGCUCAACCACGGAAUGGCCUUCGAUACUGAUUGGCUUGAGACCGGAAGAGGACAGCGGAACUGCGAGUGUAGAGGUGAAAUUCGUAGAUAUUCGCAAGAACACCAGUGGCGAAGGCGGCUGUCUGGUCCGGUUCUGACGCUGAGGCGCGAAAGCGUGGGGAGCAAACAGGAUUAGAUACCCUGGUAGUCCACGCUGUAAACGAUGAAUGCUAGCCGUUGGGGUGCAUGCACCUCAGUGGCGCCGCUAACGCUUUAAGCAUUCCGCCUGGGGAGUACGGUCGCAAGAUUAAAACUCAAAUGAAUUGACGGA
RNAcentral lists this ribosomal RNA (504 nucleotides) under uncultured bacterium. RNAcentral describes it as "bacterial SSU rRNA". It matches the Rfam family "Bacterial small subunit ribosomal RNA", at positions 394 to 917 of the family's 1533-position model. The record is from RNAcentral.